Molecule: ribosomal RNA, 2917 nt
Filed under: Pseudomonas syringae ICMP 11292
Lineage: Bacteria; Pseudomonadati; Pseudomonadota; Gammaproteobacteria; Pseudomonadales; Pseudomonadaceae
Description: bacterial LSU rRNA
Rfam family: Bacterial large subunit ribosomal RNA
Source: RNAcentral
GUUAUAUGGUCAAGUGAAGAAGCGCAUACGGUGGAUGCCUUGGCAGUCAGAGGCGAUGAAAGACGUGGUAGCCUGCGAAAAGCUUCGGGGAGUCGGCAAACAGACUGUGAUCCGGAGAUGUCUGAAUGGGGGAACCCAGCCAUCAUAAGAUGGUUAUCUUACACUGAAUACAUAGGUGUAAGAGGCGAACCAGGGGAACUGAAACAUCUAAGUACCCUGAGGAAAAGAAAUCAACCGAGAUUCCCUUAGUAGUGGCGAGCGAACGGGGACCAGCCCUUAAGUUGUAUUGAGAUUAGCGGAACGCUCUGGAAAGGGCGGCCAUAGUGGGUGAUAGCCCUGUACGCGAAAAUCCCUUUGCAAUGAAAUCGAGUAGGACGGGGCACGAGAAACCUUGUCUGAAUAUGGGGGGACCAUCCUCCAAGGCUAAAUACUACUGACUGACCGAUAGUGAACCAGUACCGUGAGGGAAAGGCGAAAAGAACCGCGGAGAGCGGAGUGAAAUAGAUCCUGAAACCGUAUGCGUACAAGCAGUGGGAGCCCACUUUGUUGGGUGACUGCGUACCUUUUGUAUAAUGGGUCAGCGACUUAUUUUCAGUGGCGAGCUUAACCGAAUAGGGGAGGCGUAGCGAAAGCGAGUCUUAAUAGGGCGUCUAGUCGCUGGGAAUAGACCCGAAACCGGGCGAUCUAUCCAUGGGCAGGUUGAAGGUUGGGUAACACUAACUGGAGGACCGAACCGACUACCGUUGAAAAGUUAGCGGAUGACCUGUGGAUCGGAGUGAAAGGCUAAUCAAGCUCGGAGAUAGCUGGUUCUCCUCGAAAGCUAUUUAGGUAGCGCCUCAUGUAUCACUGUAGGGGGUAGAGCACUGUUUCGGCUAGGGGGUCAUCCCGACUUACCAAACCGAUGCAAACUCCGAAUACCUACAAGUGCCGAGCAUGGGAGACACACGGCGGGUGCUAACGUCCGUCGUGAAAAGGGAAACAACCCAGACCGUCAGCUAAGGUCCCAAAGUCAUGGUUAAGUGGGAAACGAUGUGGGAAGGCUUAGACAGCUAGGAGGUUGGCUUAGAAGCAGCCACCCUUUAAAGAAAGCGUAAUAGCUCACUAGUCGAGUCGGCCUGCGCGGAAGAUGUAACGGGGCUCAAACCAUGCACCGAAGCUACGGGUAUCACUUUUGAUGAUGCGGUAGAGGAGCGUUCUGUAAGCCUGUGAAGGUGAGUUGAGAAGCUUGCUGGAGGUAUCAGAAGUGCGAAUGCUGACAUGAGUAACGACAAUGGGUGUGAAAAACACCCACGCCGAAAGACCAAGGUUUCCUGCGCAACGUUAAUCGACGCAGGGUUAGUCGGUCCCUAAGGCGAGGCUGAAAAGCGUAGUCGAUGGAAAACAGGUUAAUAUUCCUGUACUUCUGGUUAUUGCGAUGGAGGGACGGAGAAGGCUAGGCCAGCCUGGCGUUGGUAGUCCAGGUUUAAGGUGGUAGGCUGAGAUCUUAGGUAAAUCCGGGAUCUUAAGGCCGAGAGCUGAUGACGAGUGUGCUUUUAGAACAUGAAGUGGUUGAUGCCAUGCGUCCAAGAAAAGCUUCUAAGCUUCAGGUAACCAGGAACCGUACCCCAAACCGACACAGGUGGUUGGGUAGAGAAUACCAAGGCGCUUGAGAGAACUCGGGUGAAGGAACUAGGCAAAAUGGCACCGUAACUUCGGGAGAAGGUGCGCCGGUGAGGGUGAAGCAUUUACUGCGUAAGCCCACGCCGGUCGAAGAUACCAGGCCGCUGCGACUGUUUAUUAAAAACACAGCACUCUGCAAACACGAAAGUGGACGUAUAGGGUGUGACGCCUGCCCGGUGCCGGAAGGUUAAUUGAUGGGGUUAGCGCAAGCGAAGCUCUUGAUCGAAGCCCCGGUAAACGGCGGCCGUAACUAUAACGGUCCUAAGGUAGCGAAAUUCCUUGUCGGGUAAGUUCCGACCUGCACGAAUGGCGUAACGAUGGCGGCGCUGUCUCCACCCGAGACUCAGUGAAAUUGAAAUCGCUGUGAAGAUGCAGUGUAUCCGCGGCUAGACGGAAAGACCCCGUGAACCUUUACUAUAGCUUUGCACUGGACUUUGAAUUUGCUUGUGUAGGAUAGGUGGGAGGCUUUGAAGCGUGGACGCCAGUCUGCGUGGAGCCAACCUUGAAAUACCACCCUGGCAACUUUGAGGUUCUAACUCAGGUCCGUUAUCCGGAUCGAGGACAGUGUAUGGUGGGUAGUUUGACUGGGGCGGUCUCCUCCUAAAGAGUAACGGAGGAGUACGAAGGUGCGCUCAGACCGGUCGGAAAUCGGUCGUAGAGUAUAAAGGCAAAAGCGCGCUUGACUGCGAGACAGACACGUCGAGCAGGUACGAAAGUAGGUCUUAGUGAUCCGGUGGUUCUGUAUGGAAGGGCCAUCGCUCAACGGAUAAAAGGUACUCCGGGGAUAACAGGCUGAUACCGCCCAAGAGUUCAUAUCGACGGCGGUGUUUGGCACCUCGAUGUCGGCUCAUCACAUCCUGGGGCUGAAGCCGGUCCCAAGGGUAUGGCUGUUCGCCAUUUAAAGUGGUACGCGAGCUGGGUUUAGAACGUCGUGAGACAGUUCGGUCCCUAUCUGCCGUGGACGUUUGAGAUUUGAGAGGGGCUGCUCCUAGUACGAGAGGACCGGAGUGGACGAACCUCUGGUGUUCCGGUUGUCACGCCAGUGGCAUUGCCGGGUAGCUAUGUUCGGAAAAGAUAACCGCUGAAAGCAUCUAAGCGGGAAACUUGCCUCAAGAUGAGAUCUCACUGGAACCUUGAGUUCCCUGAAGGGCCGUCGAAGACUACGACGUUGAUAGGUUGGGUGUGUAAGCGCUGUGAGGCGUUGAGCUAACCAAUACUAAUUGCCCGUGAGGCUUGACCAUAUAACACCCAAGCAAUU